UAAUUAAUAAAUAAUUGUUUUUUUGUCAUUAGAUCAACAACAAUAAUAAAAACCUACAAUAGUUUCAUUCAUUACCAUGUCUAUUACAUUACAAAUAAUCUAUGAAUAGACACUUGGCGAACCCGAGCUAGUAAUUGUGGAAAUAAUAAAUAAUCACCUAGCCCAAAGUUGAUCAAUGUUGAAUUGGGAGAAAUUAUUUCUCGGAUCAAGACACGCCAUGCAUCUAAGCAAAUUAGUGCUAGCUUCGGAAAACCGAGUGUUUAGCUCUUGUAUUGUUAGAUCAGCAACCUAAAAUAUUAAUAGAGUAUUUAGUUUAUUAUUAGUGCUAGCUUUCAGUCUGUCCCGUUUGUAUUUCUUAACAGAGUAUUUAGUUUAUUA
Molecule: long non-coding RNA, 378 nt
Filed under: Salvia miltiorrhiza (redroot sage)
Lineage: Eukaryota; Viridiplantae; Streptophyta; Magnoliopsida; Lamiales; Lamiaceae
Description: long non-coding RNA (SMIL_LNC002451)
Source: RNAcentral